UUGUGUCUCUGAUUGCAUAUAACUUCAAAAUGCAGCCAAAUUAUGUUUGAAUUCAACUUGGAUUUAUUGAGACUUUCCUUAAAUACUUGUUAGCUUUCCUGCUGAUCUUUCUCAUUUGUUUCAUACAAAUAUAUGCAUACUGAAUAUUCAUUAACGCGCAGAAUUUGGAUGAAAGCUUUCUGAAUCUUCUAUCGGUUUAGUUCAUUUAAAUUCCAACGUAAGUACCUUUUGAAAUGUUGGAAAUGGCUGCAUGCACACUUGUAAGCAUAAAGCCUCUGGAAAAAUGGCGAAUGUUUAAUAUUUCAUUAUAAUGGACUCAAGAACAGCAUAUUUUGAUUUAAUGCUGGGUCCUGUACCUUGCAUGCGCACUCAUCUAAAAUGAUGCCCGAGCUAAUGUCUGUCUGAUAUUUCCUUUAUCUUUCCAAGCCAUGUUGAUAAACUUUGUUUGAAGCUUUAGAAUUCUAUAAUGGAUGCCAGUGCAAGUCUGUCUGUGAUGUACAAGGUUGAUACUCGAAUCCCAAUUGUUGCACAUAAUGCUAUUUCCAUUCAUUGGCUAUAAUUUUUAGUCCUACUUCCAAGACGAUUGUGUUAAUUCAUCAAGCUACUUCGCAAAUUGAAAGACAAACAAGAAUAAUGCAAGCCAAGGUAUGCAGAAAAUCUAGAGCUUGUUCAACUUGGCAUCGCAUAUUUUUUAAGAAUAUCUUGAUUCUCAAGGGCAAAAUGAAGAAUGAGUUUAUCUUCAGGAAAUUUAAUUUUAAAAUCAAUAGAUAUUUCUGUGCUCAAUCCCAGAUGGAAUGCAAAACUGUCGACAAUAAUUCUAUCCUGACAUUCAAAUUGAUCUACAAAUUGCAAGACAUCAAAAGAUAACUGCAGGCCACAGAUAUCCAUAAGACAGCUUGAAGAAUUUGGAUGUUCAGCUUCUCAUCACAUCUUUUAAACGUCUAGAUUCUCAAGAGCAAACCGAAGAAUGAAAUUUCCGUGAAGCAACUCGAUUCUGAAACCUAUAGGUUGGUAAAUUAUUCUUGACAGUUACCAGAACCUUGAAGUUGAAGUAAUUCUGCAGAACUAUCCUUUGUAGAUCUUUAUUGUAUUUAUCUUGCAAAAAUUGUGUUCGAAAUUUUACAUGAAAUAACUAUAUUAACACUAUAAGGUAAUGCUGGUUUUUGUUAUAGGGUACAUAAUUGCCUUUAUCCUGAAUUCAAAAUGCACUUCUAUUUAUCAUUCAUCAUCGAUUUGAAGUUUUUCAAAACUUAGUUUUAUUUUCAUCAAUUGCAGAACAGACCUGCUGUGUUCGUAUCUUUUGAUAUCGCUUAUGCUUGUUUAAAUUGCCCCACAAAUUGUAAAUAUCAAACAUAACUUGAAGGUUUGACUCAAUUUUAUUAUCAGAUUUGCUUACCAGAUUCAACCAUUGCCUAUAUAGUCUUCAGUUAAUAAGACAAAUCCCAUAAAAAAAACUUAAACCAUAAUUAACGAAAUAGCAUUAUCAAUCGUAGAAGAUUCCUAAAUUUCAGAGCUUUAAUUGGUAAUCCAUAAGCAUAUUUCUUUUAUCGUACACAUGGAUCAAUUAACUUCACCCGAGAGGUUUGAGUAGUUAUUAUAAUGCAUUGAUUACUGAAUCUUAAUAUUGGAUUUUCUGCAAACUUUGUGUGGUCAACUUUGCGAUUAAUAUAAUAAAAGAAACUAUUUUUCAAAGAUUUAAUUUCAAAUGAAAUUAGUAUUCAAUUAAAAUCCUAUGGUACAUCAUGUUAAAUUUUAUAAAUGUUAAUCUUAAUUGACAAAUUAAUUGAUCUAGAAAUUGACAUUUUUACUAUUUCGCCUCUUUAGCUUUUUCUCGUGUUCUACAUUCCUCGGUUUUCUUUCGACUUUGUUUGAGAAGCUAUUGUAAUUUGUGAAUCGCCUUUUACGAAUGUGUAGAUUUUAAGCAAAAAUCCAUGAAACAUUUCAUGGCUUUAAAAUACGAAUUUCAAUUCGUUUUUGUGAUGGUAGUCAUAAACUUUUCUAUAUAUCCAAAUACAUGUAGAAAAUAUAAUACUUCGCAAAAAUUUAA
Molecule: RNA transcript, 2047 nt
Organism: Argiope bruennichi
Lineage: Eukaryota; Metazoa; Arthropoda; Arachnida; Araneae; Araneidae
Exons: 4
Source: RefSeq, a predicted model, not a curated record